GACGAACGCUGGCGGCGUGCUUAACACAUGCAAGUCGAACGGACAGACAGAGAGCUUGCUCUCUUGAAGUUAGUGGCGAACGGGUGAGUAACGCGUAAUCAACCUGCCCUUCAGAGGGGGAUAACAACGGGAAACCGUUGCUAAUACCGCGUACGAUUCAUGAACGGCAUCGGUUAUGAAUGAAAGGUGGCCUCUAUGUAUAAGCUAUCGCUGAAGGAGGGGAUUGCGUCUGAUUAGCUAGUUGGAGGGGUAACGGCCCACCAAGGCAAUGAUCAGUAGCCGGUCUGAGAGGAUGAACGGCCACAUUGGGACUGAGACACGGCCCAAACUCCCACGGGAGGCAGCAGUGGGGAAUCUUCCGCAAUGGACGAAAGUCUGACGGAGCAACGCCGCGUGAGUGAUGAAGGUCUUCGGAUUGUAAAGCUCUGUUAAUCGGGACGAAAGAGUUCUGCGUGAAUAAUGCAGAAAAGUGACGGUACCGGAAUAGAAAGCCACGGCUAACUACGUGCCAGCAGCCGCAGUAA
Molecule: ribosomal RNA, 524 nt
Filed under: uncultured bacterium
Lineage: Bacteria
Description: partial 16S ribosomal RNA
Rfam family: Bacterial small subunit ribosomal RNA
Source: RNAcentral